ACCUAAUUGUCAAUUUGGUGAACAAAUUCAGUAACCUAAAUUCAAUUUUUGCAAAACCUAAUGAAUUCAAUUUAUGCAAAACCUAAACAUGAAAUUCAUAGGGUUCAAAUCCAAAGCACAAUUAGUGAAAAGGAACUAAAUUAGAGUGUUGAAAUUUAAGAUACACUACAAUCGGAGAAGAAACAGAGGAGAACAUCAAAUUUCAACGAAGAAUAACAACCACGAGAGGGAUAGAAAACGAACAACAAUUUAUAGAGAGAAGGAGAAAUACAACGAAGAGAAUCGAGUCCAUGUCGGAGCGAGAUCGUGAACGGAGCAAGACCGGAGCGAGAUUGCAGCGAGAAUGAGAUCGGAGCGAGAUUGCAGCGAGAAUGAGAUCGGAGCGAGGUCGCAGUGUGGAGGAGAUCGGAGCGAGGUCGGGAGCGGUUUCACCGUAGAGAGUAAAAGCGGUGUCGUGUUCUAAGAUAACAAUGAGAUAAGG
This 481-nucleotide long non-coding RNA is filed under the name Trifolium pratense (red clover). Its description in RNAcentral is "long non-coding RNA (TPRA_LNC009700)". The record is from RNAcentral. Lineage: Eukaryota; Viridiplantae; Streptophyta; Magnoliopsida; Fabales; Fabaceae.